Molecule: ribosomal RNA, 995 nt
Filed under: uncultured bacterium
Lineage: Bacteria
Description: bacterial SSU rRNA
Rfam family: Bacterial small subunit ribosomal RNA
Source: RNAcentral
UGGGGAAUAUUGCACAAUGGGGGAAACCCUGAUGCAGCGACGCCGCGUGGAGGAAGAAGGUCUUCGGAUUGUAAACUCCUGUUGUUGAGGAAGAUAAUGACGGUACUCAACAAGGAAGUGACGGCUAACUACGUGCCAGCAGCCGCGGUAAAACGUAGGUCACAAGCGUUGUCCGGAAUUACUGGGUGUAAAGGGAGCGCAGGCGGGAGAACAAGUUGGAAGUGAAAUCCAUGGGCUCAACCCAUGAACUGCUUUCAAAACUGUUUUUCUUGAGUAGUGCAGAGGUAGGCGGAAUUCCCGGUGUAGCGGUGGAAUGCGUAGAUAUCGGGAGGAACACCAGUGGCGAAGGCGGCCUACUGGGCACCAACUGACGCUGAGGCUCGAAAGUGUGGGUAGCAAACAGGAUUAGAUACCCUGGUAGUCCACACCGUAAACGAUGAUUACUAGGUGUUGGAGGAUUGACCCCUUCAGUGCCGCAGUUAACACAAUAAGUAAUCCACCUGGGGAGUACGACCGCAAGGUUGAAACUCAAAGGAAUUGACGGGGGCCCGCACAAGCAGUGGAGUAUGUGGUUUAAUUCGACGCAACGCGAAGAACCUUACCAGGUCUUGACAUCCCUUGACGAUGCUGGAAACAGCAUUUCUCUUCGGAGCAAGGAGACAGGUGGUGCAUGGUUGUCGUCAGCUCGUGUCGUGAGAUGUUGGGUUAAGUCCCGCAACGAGCGCAACCCUUAUGGUCAGUUACUACGCAAGAGGACUCUGGCCAGACUGCCGUUGACAAAACGGAGGAAGGUGGGGAUGACGUCAAAUCAUCAUGCCCUUUAUGACUUGGGCUACACACGUACUACAAUGGCGUUAAACAAAGAGAAGCAAGACCGCGAGGUGGAGCAAAACUCAGAAACAACGUCCCAGUUCGGACUGCAGGCUGCAACUCGCCUGCACGAAGUCGGAAUUGCUAGUAAUCGUGGAUCAGCAUGCCACGGUGAAUACGUUCCC